RNAcentral lists this ribosomal RNA (468 nucleotides) under uncultured bacterium. RNAcentral's name for it is "partial 16S ribosomal RNA". It matches the Rfam family "Bacterial small subunit ribosomal RNA", at positions 28 to 507 of the family's 1533-position model. The record is from RNAcentral.
GACGAACGCUGGCGGCGUGCUUAACACAUGCAAGUCGAACGGAAAGGCCCUGCUUUUGUGGGGUGCUCGAGUGGCGAACGGGUGAGUAACACGUGAGUAACCUGCCCUUGACUUUGGGAUAACUUCAGGAAACUGGGGCUAAUACCGGAUAGGAGCUCCUGCUGCAUGGUGGGGGUUGGAAAGUUUCGGCGGUUGGGGAUGGACUCGCGGCUUAUCAGCUUGUUGGUGGGGUAGUGGCUUACCAAGGCUUUGACGGGUAGCCGGCCUGAGAGGGUGACCGGCCACAAUGGGACUGAGAGAGGGCCCAGACUGCAACGGGAGGCAGCAGGGGAGAAUAGUGCACAAUGGGCGGAAGCCUGAUGAAGCAACGCCGCGUGCGGGAUGACGGCCUUCGGGUUGUAAACCGAUUUCGCCUGUGACGAAGCGGGAGUGACGGUAAUGGGUAAAGAAGCACCGGCUAACUACGUG